RNAcentral lists this long non-coding RNA (1239 nucleotides) under Naja naja (Indian cobra). RNAcentral describes it as "lncRNA (ENSNNAG00000009089.1)". The record is from RNAcentral. Lineage: Eukaryota; Metazoa; Chordata; Lepidosauria; Squamata; Elapidae.
ACCCUUCUGUGGUAAACAUAUCAGAUGAAAUGGCCAAAACUGCACAGUGGAAGGCUCUUUCCAUGAACACAGAGAAUGCCAAAGUAACAAGACCUAACUUGAGCCCUGAAAAUGAGUCAUGUGUGAAAAUAGACAUUGAAAAAACAUCUGCAAUAAAGUAUGUAGAUGCUGAAACCUCAUUAUAGAGAUAAAACAAUGAUAUUAUUUUAUAGGAUAUAUUGAAAGAGAGUGACUUUACAGCUUCUUUAAGUACUAGGUACUUAUGUGAACAACAGUGAGAUUUUCCAACAAGAAAUGUCUGUCACUGUGGAAAUAUUUAUUUUAGUGGAAUGUUUGUUUCAAUUUUUUAAAAGGAAAAAUAAUUUCUUUUUUUAGUUAUCAGUAAGUCAAAGAUCAUCUUUAACUAUAAAUUAUUGGUUUGCAUUGUAUCUGUGAUAUUUUUAUAUAAUUUUAAAUACAAAUGUCCUGUUAUCAGGCAUUUGCUAGUUGGGUUUUUGCAAAUGUUAUGCCAGUUUAUAAGAACAAAUGAUACAUAUGCAAUUUAACGAAUUGCUGUAUUUCAGCCUUUAUUUCAUAUUAUUUUAUGGAUUAAAUAAUUGUAUUUGUAUAUGAAUUAUUUCCUGUUGUAUUGUUAAAUACCAUUGUAUUGCAUUUUUUAAAAUAAGUCUUAUAUGUAGUAGUCAACUUCUCAGUUUUAUUUUUUAAUUCACCAACCACAAGAGCAGAUUAUACUGAAAAAAUAAAGCAGUUUUUUAAAUAUAGAAGUCUAGAUUGGCAUUUAUUUAGACUGCCUUUUAAUAAGAUUAAACAUGAUUAUGGUUCUCUUUUUGUAAGAUAAAAUUUAAUUUUCUCCUGGGCGUCCUAUAAAUAUAUUCCAGAGAGCUGGGGGAGUUUGAUGAUUGGUAACUGUAGGAGAGGGAAGAAAUUUCUAUUACAUAAAUGAAAAUUUUCUAGUUAGUAUUGUAUUAGAACAUCUGGAUUUACAUUAAGAGUUGACUUCUCUUACAUAAACUUUAUUGCUACUAGACAUUGAAAAUAAAUUUAUGUAGGUUCUUGAAUCCAUCAUUUUAACAUUCAGUUCCAGGAAAUAAAACCAGAAUUGCUUUAAAAUUAUGUUAAAUUUUAAAAAAAUGUUUUCCAAAGCAUAUUUGUCUUAGAUCAAUAAAAGCAUUUAUAUAAAAUGCUGGGUGCAACUGUGUUUUAUCUGAUUACGUUUAAGCCCUGCGUUUUUGUUCUAUU